This 444-nucleotide ribosomal RNA is filed under the name uncultured bacterium. RNAcentral describes it as "bacterial SSU rRNA". It matches the Rfam family "Bacterial small subunit ribosomal RNA", at positions 355 to 796 of the family's 1533-position model. The record is from RNAcentral.
UAAGGAAUAUUGGUCAAUGGGCGGAAGCCUGAACCAGCCAUGCCGCGUGCAGGAAGACGGCCCUACGGGUUGUAAACUGCUUUUGUACCGGAAUAAACCUCAUUAUGUAUAAUGAGCUGAAUGUACGGUAAGAAUAAGGAUCGGCUAACUCCGUGCCAGCAGCCGCGGUAAUACGGAGGAUCCAAGCGUUAUCCGGAUUUAUUGGGUUUAAAGGGUGCGUAGGCGGCCUGUUAAGUCAGGGGUGAAAGACGGUAGCUCAACUAUCGCAGUGCCCUUGAUACUGAUGGGCUUGAAUGUACUUGAGGUAGGCGGAAUGUGACAAGUAGCGGUGAAAUGCAUAGAUAUGUCACAGAACACCAAUUGCGAAGGCAGCUUACUAAAGUAUGAUUGACGCUGAGGCACGAAAGCGUGGGGAUCAAACAGGAUUAGAUACCCGUGUAGUCC